Arabidopsis thaliana (thale cress) is the source of this 260-nucleotide long non-coding RNA. RefSeq annotates it as other RNA. The transcript has a single exon. NCBI's taxonomy places the organism in Eukaryota, Viridiplantae, Streptophyta, Magnoliopsida, Brassicales, Brassicaceae. The record is from RefSeq.
AUUAGUGGUUGUGUGUGCUUGUGCUAUAAAGGUUGAUAGCUAGAGGAAGAUGGACAAAAGAUAUUGUAGAAAAUAUUUUUUUAAAGUACUAUAUGUUUUUCUUUUAACUAUACAUCAUAUAACUCUAUCACUUCCGUAAAUAUCUUUUAGUACUAUUUAAAUAGAAAUAAAGAGAGAUGGUAUUUUCUAAUAUGGAUUGGUUCGGUCGUUACUAAUAUGGAUUAGCUCCUUCGGUUGGGGUUACCCUACCUUCUGCUUCA